RNAcentral lists this ribosomal RNA (301 nucleotides) under uncultured bacterium. Its description in RNAcentral is "partial 16S ribosomal RNA". It matches the Rfam family "Bacterial small subunit ribosomal RNA", at positions 509 to 808 of the family's 1533-position model. The record is from RNAcentral.
CAGUCGCCGCGGUAAUACGUAGGUCCCGAGCGUUAUCCGGAUUUAUUGGGCGUAAAGCGAGCGCAGGCGGUUAGAUAAGUCUGAAGUUAAAGGCUGUGGCUUAACCAUAGUACGCUUUGGAAACUGUUUAACUUGAGUGCAGAAGGGGAGAGUGGAAUUCCACGUGUAGCGGUGAAAUGCGUAGAGAUGUGGAGGAACACCAGUGGCGAAGGCGACUCUCUGGUCUGUAACUGACGCUGAGGAGCGAAAGCGUGGGGAGCGAACAGGAUUAGAUACCCGCGUAGUCCCUGUCUCUUAUACA